RNAcentral lists this ribosomal RNA (433 nucleotides) under uncultured bacterium. RNAcentral's name for it is "partial 16S ribosomal RNA". It matches the Rfam family "Bacterial small subunit ribosomal RNA", at positions 29 to 507 of the family's 1533-position model. The record is from RNAcentral.
AACGAACGCUGGCGGCAUGCCUAACACAUGCAAGUCGAACGAGACCUUCGGGUCUAGUGGCGCACGGGUGCGUAACGCGUGGGAACCUGCCCUUAGGUUCGGAAUAACUCCCCGAAAGGGGUGCUAAUACCGGAUAAUGUCUUCGGACCAAAGAUUUAUCGCCUUUGGAUGGGCCCGCGUUGGAUUAGCUAGUUGGUAGGGUAAAAGCCUACCAAGGCGACGAUCCAUAGCUGGUCUGAGAGGAUGAUCAGCCACACUGGGACUGAGACACGGCCAAGACUCCUACGGGCGGCAGCAGUGGGGAAUAUUGGACAAUGGGCGAAAGCCUGAUCCAGCAAUGCCGCGUGAGUGAUGAAGGCCUUAGGGUUGUAAAGCUCUUUUACCCGGGAUGAUAAUGACAGUACCGGGAGAAUAAGCUCCGGCUAACUCCGUG